UAAUUAAUUGCGAACCGUGUCUCGGGAGCGUUAGAGAUGGAGACUAACGUCUUCCAAGGGAGAUUGCGUCUUCACUUUCACCCUGGUACUGAGAGGCACAAAAUUGGUAACCAAUGCUGCGCUUCCAGCAAAUUUUCCCACCAGCACCCAAUCCUGGGAUAUUUAUUCUCUUUGUCUCACAUCCUACAGGAACGCAGUCGCGGGGUAUAUCCCCCUGAAAACCGUACGUUGCCAAAUAAUGAUUUCUUUGGAUUAGAGAACUACAACUCCCCUGGGUCCUGAGCCGGUAUUUCCCUCUUGCGGCUGCACCGUAGUUAAAAACAAAGCUACGUGUUCUGGGACGUAUAGUUCUAGCGUUCCUUGGGUCCCGCUGGCGAGCGUGGGCUUUCUGCAGCUGGCAACCGGCCUCGUGCUUUGCGGACGGUUCACUGCGCUUGGAAAGGGAUUGGCCUGGGGUACAUCAUCUAAAGAUCCUAGGAUUGCUGCAGGUCAGCAGUCUCCACUGGAAAAAAAGAUCUUGAAUCUAGGUGGUGUGCAUACAACAGCAGCAAGACAGUUGAUAAUUCAGAAAUAUCAGGAGGAGUGUGAAAUACUCUGUAGGGAGCAAGCUGUUUCUCUUGACUACUGGCUUGCCAAAGCAGAGUCUUAUUAUAAUAAAAUAAUAGUGGAAAUGAUGAAAGAAGAGACAGGCAAUGAAAUCAAGAAAAAAAUGGAGGAGAAAACAACCCAAAGCGUAGAAGGACUAAAACAGUACUGUUUGGUACCUGAGAGAGAGAUGAAACACAUAGAAAGGCACAUACAUCAAACAGGAAAGGCUGGAGAAUUUAAGAACAAAUCAUUUAGACAAGUACUACAACCCCCCAAUGAAACAAAAUUACCAAAAAUUAUGCCAGAAGGGCAUGGCAUCCAGAACGCACAGAGAAGAAAGCAGGUAAAUGAGAGGGAACAGAUGCAGACUAAGGAUCACCAGGAACGCAUGAUUCGAGGGAGAGAACUUGCAGAACAAAGACUCAAGGAGAGAAUCUUCAGAAGAAGCCAGAGCCAGCUACUUACAUAUGAGAAGCAUGAGAGAGUAAAAGAGAUAAAGGAGUUUGAAAGAGUUAUUGCAUAUCCUCUUUUCCAACCAUGCAGUAGAAGUCGGAUUAAACAUGUAUUUCAAGUCCUCUGAUGAAUUAUGUGAUCUACUAGACCCUGAAGAUACAGUGAAGAGCAAAAGUAAGAUGCUGGCAAUUUGAUGUUUGCACUGUCAUGAAGGAGAUGCACAUUUAGCAGAACUUACAAAGAGAAAUAUAAAAUUACUGCUGAGCUAAGUGUGGUGAAGAAAAGUUCAUGGUACCAUGAAAGCAGAUAACCAGGAGAUCUAACAGGUCCACUACCACUAUUCUCAAUAAUACCUAAAAGAAAUAAUAAGAUAUGGCAUUUAUAAAUGAUGAAUAGGAUUUUAUAAAAUUAUAUACAAUCAGAGAACCAAAAAGCACUCUUGGAAAUCAAAAAGUGAUCAUUUAAAUAAGUAUUUCAAUAGAUCACUUGGAAGAGUAAAUUUGUACUACCACUAAAUAUUAAAAAUGGAAAAACAAUGUCAAGAAAGACAGAAGAACUAUACGAAUACUAGGCUAUCAGUCAAGGAUUUCCAGCAACUUAAUAAUACAAAUUCUAAAAGAAUGGAAAGAUAGAAAUUAUUUAAAAUAAAAAAAUUUCUCC
Molecule: small RNA, 1701 nt
Filed under: Pan troglodytes (chimpanzee)
Lineage: Eukaryota; Metazoa; Chordata; Mammalia; Primates; Hominidae
Description: processed transcript
Source: RNAcentral